UCGUCCUCAUGGUGUGUAGCUUGAAUUUUCUUCUACAUUUGGACAUUGCCAAAAUUGUCCCAAUAUUUGUAGGAUCCGUCCAAGACUUGUUCACUCAUUUCAGCUUGGGAUUGAUCACAACUUCAUAACAAACAUCUUGGAGCUCUUCGCACCGAGUUACCUCCAUCUCAGCUAGUGUAGCCUUGAGAUGAUCGUUUUCUUAAUCUUUAGAAGUUAACUUAGCUCGAAGAGAUGCCUACAGAUCUUUUAGUUGUCCGGCCUGCCUCAACCACCUUUUUUAUAAGCUCAAGAUCUUUUAUUAUCUUAGCUCUAUCAGUAUGAACACUCUGCAGUUGUUGCUCAAUCUUAAUCCUAGCCUGUUUCAUAUAGAGAACAUUCUGAUAACCCUACAAAAAAAUAAAAUCAAAGUAACACAAAUCAAUCAAUAGUAAUUUCAUUUCAAAGAAAAAAUGAAAGAAAACAUGAGCUUAAUUACCAUGAAGGCUGAAGAAACAAACACAUCAUAAGCCUAGGAAACUCCAUAGUAGUUCAGCACGACCUUAUCCUCCUCAAGUACAGCUUCUUAGGCUGCCUUGACAAUUCAUUAUACCAGUGUGAACCGAAGCGCCAGAAUAUUUAAAUACAUGGACAGAACCGUCAAAUAAGAAAUCCUUAUCAGCCACGGAAGCCAGUUUGCCUGGGGAGCGACCUGUUGGGACAUUGACCCGUUGAACAUCGAUCGAGAUUGGCUGCUCCGCUGGCUCACUCGAACUUGUAGCAUGUUUCUUCUUCUCUUUCUUUUUCUUCUUCUUCUUUUUGGCCAAGAAGGCUUCAUGAUCAACUUCAUUCGGAUUGUAAUGGAAUUUCAAGUUAGCCACCCAAGUGUCUGCAUACACUC
RNAcentral lists this long non-coding RNA (877 nucleotides) under Salvia miltiorrhiza (redroot sage). RNAcentral describes it as "long non-coding RNA (SMIL_LNC003567)". Lineage: Eukaryota; Viridiplantae; Streptophyta; Magnoliopsida; Lamiales; Lamiaceae. The record is from RNAcentral.